This 978-nucleotide ribosomal RNA is filed under the name Cibicidoides wuellerstorfi. RNAcentral describes it as "bacterial SSU rRNA". It matches the Rfam family "Eukaryotic small subunit ribosomal RNA", at positions 1182 to 1814 of the family's 1831-position model. Lineage: Eukaryota; Foraminifera; Rotaliida; Anomalinidae. The record is from RNAcentral.
AACGCGUGGAGCAUGUGGCUUAAUUUGACUCAACGCGGGAAAUCUUACCGGGUCCGGACACACUGAGGAUUGACAGGCAAUAUUAARUACUUUGCUUCGGCAUUGUAUUAUGUUAAAUAUGCUAGUCCUUUCAUGAUUAUGUGAUAGGUGGUGCAUGGCCGUUCUUAGUUCGUGGAGUGAUCUGUCUGCUUAAUUGCGUUUCACUAAGGGCCUAUAADGUUUACGUAUGUUGUAUCGCACUUUGACCCCUUUCUUUWAUUAGAAAGCGCGUGUCUUAGUUUCGCUUUGCUCAUACAAUUAGGUCCUGAAAGCAACGAACGUGACCGCAACCUCUUGUUGCCUUUAUACCAAACAUGUUUAUUCAUUUUUUAAUGUUCAUUCAUGAAAAAAGGCUUUUUAAACUAGAGGGACCGCUGUUACUUUCUUAAACCAGAGGAAGGUUGCGGCAAUAACAGGUCUGUGAUGCCCUUAGAUGUUCCGGGCUGCACACGUGCUACAAUGAUUAUUGCAGUGAGCAUCUCAUUUUUACACACCGCAUGCGCGAGUCCAUUUAUUCACCUUCGGGUGUUUUAAAUGUGUACCUCUGCGCGCGGUAAAGCCUGCUUCGAAAGUAAGUGGGUAAUCAAUUAGAAGUAAUGAUUUCCUUUUUUAGCACACAUAUAUACGGCGUCUAUGCCCGGGUUACCUUGUUGUAGCUUUUGUGUGUAUAGAUGUUUUUUCCGUAUGUGCGAUUGUCAAUUCAUGGUGGGGACAGACCAUUGUUAAUUGUUGGUCUCGGUCUUAACUAGGAAUGCCUUGUACGGGUCUUUGGUUCAACAAACCACCCGGAAUACGUCCCUGCCCUUUGUACACACCGCCCGUCGCUCUUACCGAUGGACUUCUCUGUGAGUUUGAGGGACUGGGAACGCAGGAAUUUAUUUCUGCACACCUAUGGAAACUUAAACGAACAGUGUGGUCUAAAGGAAAGAGAAGUCGUAC